CUGCUCCGAGACUCCAACGCGAGCUACCUGAGACCCGGUGAAUUUUUUACCGGAUAUGGAUGUGCUUUAAGGAAUUCCAGUGUUAAUUGUACUUUUCGGGGACUUUGAGUGAUUCACCACCCUUUGAACAAAUGUAUUUUGAGAUCCUCAAAGGAAUCCUAGAUUUGUCAAGAAGCCAUGUUUUAAUUGCUGCCCAUCAAAUAGUACUGUGUCUUGCAUGUGUAAAUUAGAUUCAUUUUGAGGAAAU
Molecule: long non-coding RNA, 247 nt
Organism: Ostrea edulis (European flat oyster)
Lineage: Eukaryota; Metazoa; Mollusca; Bivalvia; Ostreida; Ostreidae
Exons: 4
Source: RefSeq, a predicted model, not a curated record